CGACGUAGGAUGCAAGCGUUAUCCGGAAUCAUGGGGCGUAAAGAGUCCGUAGGUGGUAUGUUAAGUUGGAUGUUAAAUUUUUGAGCUCAACUCAAAAAAUGUGUCCAAAACUGGCAAACUGGAGACAGGUAGAGGCAAGUGGAAUUCUGCAUGUAGGGGUAAUAUCCGUAGAUAUGCAGAGGAACACCAAAAGCGAAGGCAGCUUGCUGGACCUGUUCUGACACUAAAGGACGAAAGCGUGGGGAGCAAACGGGAUUAGAAACCCUAGUAGUCC
This 274-nucleotide ribosomal RNA is filed under the name uncultured bacterium. RNAcentral's name for it is "partial 16S ribosomal RNA". It matches the Rfam family "Bacterial small subunit ribosomal RNA", at positions 523 to 796 of the family's 1533-position model. The record is from RNAcentral.